RNAcentral lists this unclassified non-coding RNA (2252 nucleotides) under Hevea brasiliensis (rubber tree). The record is from RNAcentral. Lineage: Eukaryota; Viridiplantae; Streptophyta; Magnoliopsida; Malpighiales; Euphorbiaceae.
AAUUCAUAUCAUCUAAAUUUUCAAGUAAUUUUUAGCAGCAAAAUGAGGCACUCAAUUUUGUCAAAAAAUCAAUAACAAAUGAACAAGUAAUUACUCCGAGCAUUAACAAAAGAUGCCAACUUAUCCCUCCUAUCACUGCUAAACCACCAAGGGGGUUCUUUACGUGAUUAUUCAAAGAAUUGAUUAGAGCAGAAAAUAAUGUGAAAGCAAAACUUCUUCAUUUCUACCGUGAACAGUAUGUGCUUCAAUGCUUAAGCUCCAGAACCUGAUGUUAAUUAUUUGCUGUCCUACUGGAAUCCCUUCCAAAGAUGAAACGCCUUGUCCAGUCAGACACAACCAAUGCCCUUGUACGCCAGCUUACUUGCUUACUAGCAUAGACAGAAUACCAAAGCCACUGAGUGCUGUGUCCAAUUGAAACCCAAUCACCGGGAAGUUGUGCUGCCGUUUGCUCUCCCCCUAGUGGAGCAAAUUGACCAAGAUGCUUGUACCUGAAGGGGCGAAAUCGAUGGCGACCUUCUCCCCUGAACCUGAGAGGGCCUUCUGGAUUAUUCUCAACUUCUUCCAUGCGGUUGAAGCAAUUGGCAAGGUAGGUACCUUGUUGAGACGCAACCUGCGCUGUUGCUGGAAGAUUCUUCAUCUGAGAAUCCACUUCAGAAAGAGCUGUUUUAAACUCCUCGAUAUUUAAUUCAAUAGAUUCUUUUGCAACAUCCCCUUUGGCUUCCUUCAGCAGAUCAACAAUAUUGCGCAUUUUUUUGUUCUUUAAAUAAAGUUCCACUUGGGGAUAUCUUUCACAAAUGUCAUUAAUGACUUCUUGAAAUUCUUUUACUGUGAGUGUUCCAGAAUUGUCCUUGUCUGCCUUCUUAAAUAUUGCUGAGAUAUCUUCCAUGACUUUGCGCUGGUUAAUUGUUGCACAAUCACCAAGCGCAUAUACGUUAUUACAUCCCUCAACUCGCAGCCACUCAUCAGUUGCUAGAGCACGCCUGUUAUUCUGACCAAUUUGCCUCAUGAAGUCCCUAAUGACAGGAUGAGUUCCAAUUCCAGUUGACCAGACAACCAUUCCAUAAGGAAUAGAAGUAGUUUCUCCACUCCCCCUUACUUUAGUAGAAAUGUCUUUAUCAGAUACUUUCACAACCAUUGACCCUAAUUUCACAUCAAUGCCAUCUCUUCUGAACUUUUCUUCAGCAAAAUCUGUGAUUCUUUUGUCAAACAUGUUCAGAAUAUGAUCUGCUGCCUCAAGAAGUGUUAUUUUUACGAAAUCUUUAGCUGAAGGAUAUAUUUUGAUUAGAUCCUCAUUCACAAAAUCAUGAAGCUCUGCAGCAAAUUCCACACCAGUUGGACCACCACCAACCACUACAAAAUGAAGAAUUCUUUUUCUCUCUUCAUCGCUUAAAUUUGGUAGACUGGCCUUUUCAAAGUUGUCAAUAACAGUCCUACGGAUCUUCUGUGCGUCUUCAACCUCCUUCAAGAAAUUGCAAUACUCCAUCACUCCAGGUGUGUUGAAUGUAUUUGGUCGAGCUCCCAUGGCUAUUACGAGGUAGUCAUAUUCUACAACGAAUUCUUCUUUCCCAUUCAUGUUUGCAUUUUGGUUAGAUCGACAGUAAACUUUUUUGUUUUCUGCAUCAAUCUUGAAACAUUCAGCUUCCCAGAAACAAAUGUCGACAUUUUUCUUCCUGACAAUGUUGCGAAUAGGUUCAACGAUGCUGCGAGCUUCCACCGUACCACAUGUAACACUUGGUAGCAAGGGAGUGAACGCGAAGUAGUUACGAGGUGAUAUCACUUGAACAUCAUAUGAUGGGCUAUUUAGUUUCUUCAAAAAACUUGUUCCUGCCCAACCAGUUCCAAGCACAACGACCUUUUUUUUCUUGCUCACCGGCUCAGGUGUUGCCAAAGCAUGUACUCCAUUGGAUGAGUUUGCAUCAGCAUAGGCUAAAAGGCCCCCACCACUGACGGCGCAGACCACAAUAAACUUAGAGAGCAAAGGAUAGUCAUGAAAGGAUCUAGAAGCUCUCUCGAACAAGCUUAAACCUCUCAUUUUCGCUCACAAUCAGAUCUAUUUAGAAAAAUUCUGGAGAAACUAGUAGAUAAACAGAGCGCUUUUAAGCUAUAUAAAACAGAGAGAAAACGAGAGAGAGGCGAUUUCUUUUGUUAAGAGUAGCAGAAGAAGAAGCAGGUAAAUUGCAGAGAGAGAGAGAGAGCCCGAAAAGGUUGGAGACGGGAGAAAGAGGUUGGAAACGCGAACGUGAUGGCUGUGC